RNAcentral lists this ribosomal RNA (479 nucleotides) under uncultured bacterium. RNAcentral describes it as "SSU rRNA". It matches the Rfam family "Bacterial small subunit ribosomal RNA", at positions 26 to 518 of the family's 1533-position model. The record is from RNAcentral.
AGGACAAACGCUGGCGGGGUGCGUGAGACAUGCAAGUCGAACGAGGUUUCAUGGGGCUUGCUCUGUGAAACCUAGUGGCGGACGGCUGAGUAACGCGUAGGUGACCUGCCCGGAAGUGGGGAAUAACUGCCCGAAAGGGUGGCUAAUACCGCAUGUGGUCGGCGAUUCAGUUCGCCGCCCAAAGCCGUAAGGCGCUUCCGGCGGGGCCUGCGUCCGAUUAGCUAGUUGGUGGGGUAAUGGCUCACCAAGGCGACGAUCGGUAGCUGGUCUGAGAGGAUGAUCAGCCAGACUGGGACUGAGAACGGCCCAGACUCCUAUGGGAGGCAGCAGUCGGGAAUUUUGCCCAAUGGACGAAAGUCUGAGGCAGCAACUCCGCGUGAGGGACGAAGGCCUUCGGGUCGUAAACCUCUUUUCUCAGGGAAGAUACAAGACGGUACCUGAGGAAUAGACCACGGACUAACGUACGUGCCAGCAGCCGC